This 450-nucleotide ribosomal RNA is filed under the name uncultured bacterium. RNAcentral's name for it is "partial 16S ribosomal RNA". It matches the Rfam family "Bacterial small subunit ribosomal RNA", at positions 354 to 796 of the family's 1533-position model. The record is from RNAcentral.
GUGGGGAAUUUUGGACAAUGGGCGCAAGCCUGAUCCAGCAAUGCCGCGUGCAGGAAGAAGGCCUUCGGGUUGUAAACUGCUUUUGUACGGAACGAAACGGUCCUGGUUAAUACCUGGGGCUAAUGACGGUACCGUAAGAAUAAGCACCGGCUAACUACGUGCCAGCAGCCGCGGUAAUACGUAGGGUGCGAGCGUUAAUCGGAAUUACUGGGCGUAAAGCGUGCGCAGGCGGUGCGGUAAGGCAGGCGUGAAAUCCCCGGGCUCAACCUGGGAAUUGCGCUUGUGACUGCAGUGCUGGAGUACGGCAGAGGGGGAUGGAAUUCCGCGUGUAGCAGUGAAAUGCGUAGAUAUGCGGAGGAACACCGAUGGCGAAGGCAGUCCCCUGGGCCUGUACUGACGCUCAUGCACGAAAGCGUGGGGAGCAAACAGGAUUAGAAACCCCGGUAGUCC